RNAcentral lists this transfer RNA (72 nucleotides) under Bos taurus (domestic cattle). It matches the Rfam family "tRNA". Rfam says of the family: Transfer RNA (tRNA) molecules are approximately 80 nucleotides in length. Their secondary structure includes four short double-helical elements and three loops (D, anti-codon, and T loops). The record is from Rfam by way of RNAcentral. Lineage: Eukaryota; Metazoa; Chordata; Mammalia; Artiodactyla; Bovidae. RNAcentral also lists the same sequence under 2 other names.
UCCCUGGUGGCUCAGAUGGUAAAGCAUCUGCCUGCAAUGCAGGAGACCCGGGUUCGAUCUCUGGGUUGGGAA